This 402-nucleotide ribosomal RNA is filed under the name uncultured prokaryote. Its description in RNAcentral is "bacterial SSU rRNA". It matches the Rfam family "Bacterial small subunit ribosomal RNA", at positions 355 to 774 of the family's 1533-position model. The record is from RNAcentral.
UGGGGAAUAUUGGACAAUGGGCGCAAGCCUGAUCCAGCCAUGCCGCGUGAGUGACGAAGGCCUUAGGGUUGUAAAGCUCUUUUGGCGGGGACGAUAAUGACGGUACCCGCAGAAUAAGCUCCGGCUAACUUCGUGCCAGCAGCCGCGGUAAUACGAAGGGAGCUAGCGUUGUUCGGAAUCACUGGGCGUAAAGCGCACGUAGGCGGAUUUGUUAGUCAGGGGUGAAAUCCCGGGGCUCAACCUCGGAACUGCCUUUGAUACUGCAAGUCUCGAGUCCGGAAGAGGUGGGUGGAAUUCCUAGUGUAGAGGUGAAAUUCGUAGAUAUUAGGAAGAACACCGGUGGCGAAGGCGGCCCACUGGUCCGGUACUGACGCUGAGGUGCGAAAGCGUGGGGAGCAAACA